RNAcentral lists this long non-coding RNA (923 nucleotides) under Prunus dulcis (almond). RNAcentral describes it as "sRNA ncRNA". Lineage: Eukaryota; Viridiplantae; Streptophyta; Magnoliopsida; Rosales; Rosaceae. The record is from RNAcentral.
AUGGAAGGUGUUCAUUUUCUUAUAAACACUCUUGCCAUAUUGGCAUUUGCAACCAUCCUUGUCUCUGCCUCUGACCCUAGCCCUCUUCAGGACUUCUGUGUAGCACUUAAUGACACCAAAUCUGCUGGUAUACAAUAUAUUAUGUACUAUGUUAUAUUUUUCCCUACUAUUUAUUUUCACAUUAAUUAUUUUUGUUAGGAAGUAGGAAUAUUAUGAAGAUAUUGGUUUUCUGUUAACUAUUUAUGCUUGGCUAAAUGUGGUCCAAAUAUAAUCAUACAUAUAAUAUUGUUCACGUUAAUGUAUGCUGUCAACUUACUAAUAGUAAAAAGUGUGAUUGCUUUUUUUCUUUUGUUUUGUACAACCAGUGUUUGUGAAUGGGAAAUUCUGCAAGGACCCAAAGCUUGCCAAUGCAAAUGAUUUCUUCUUUUAUGGGGCUCCAAAUUGCAAGAAGCACACAAAAUCCACUUGGUUCAACAGUGACAGCAGUGAAUGUGGACCAAAUAGCAGGACUGAACACUCUUGGUAUAUCCCUGGCUCGCAUAGACUUUGCACGAAAUGGCCUAAACCCUCCUCAUACUCACCCUCGUGCCACCGAAAUCCUUUUAGUCUUGGAAGGAACACUCUAUGUUGGUUUCGUCACAUCGAAUGCCGAUAAUAAUCGCCUAUUCACUAAAGUGUUGAACAAGGGAGAUGUGUUUGUGUUCCCAAUUGGCCUCAUUCACUUCCAACUCAAUGUGGGAGAAGGUGACGCUGUAGCCCAAGCUGCCCUCAGCAGUCAGAACCCAGGAGUGAUAACCAUUGCAAAUGCAGUUUUUGGUUCUGACCCUCCCAUCAAUCCUGAGGUUCUAGCUAAGGCCUUCCAAGUGGACAACAAGGCGGUUGAGUAUCUCCAGAAACAGUUCUGGUACGACAACAAUAAUUAG